UAGGGAAUCUUCGGCAAUGGGGGGAACCCUGACCGAGCAACGCCGCGUGAGUGAAGAAGGUUUUCGGAUCGUAAAGCUCUGUUGUUAAGGAAGAACGAGUGUGAGAAUGGAAAGUUCAUGCUGUUACGGUACUUAACCAGAAAGGGACGGCUAACUACGUGCCAGCAGCCGCGGUAAUACGUAGGUCCCGAGCGUUGUCCGGAUUUAUUGGGCGUAAAGCGAGCGCAGGCGGUUAGAAAAGUCUGAAGUGAAAGGCAGUGGCUCAACCAUUGUAGGCUUUGGAAACUGUUUAACUUGAGUGCAGAAGGGGAGAGUGGAAUUCCAUGUGUAGCGGUGAAAUGCGGAGAUAUAUGGAGGAACACCGGUGGCGAAAGCGGCUCUCUGGUCUGUAACUGACGCUGAGGCUCGAAAGCGUGGGGAGCGAACAGG
RNAcentral lists this ribosomal RNA (429 nucleotides) under Verrucomicrobiota bacterium. RNAcentral's name for it is "Verrucomicrobia bacterium partial 16S ribosomal RNA". It matches the Rfam family "Bacterial small subunit ribosomal RNA", at positions 355 to 776 of the family's 1533-position model. Lineage: Bacteria; Pseudomonadati; Verrucomicrobiota. The record is from RNAcentral.